GAGUAAAGAUUUCGGUCGCUUUGGGAGGAGCUCGCUUACUAUCAGCUUGUUGGUAGGGUAAUGGCCUACCAAGGCUAUGACGGUUAGGGGGUGUGAGAGCAUGACCCCCAGCAUUGGCACUGAAACACUGGCCAAACACCUACGGGUGGCUGCAGUCGAGAAUCUUCCACAAUGGGGGAAACCCUGAUGGAGCGAUGCUGCGUGCGGGAUGAAGGCCUUCGGGUUGUAAACCGCUUUUGUAGGGGACGAAAUUUUUGACGGUACCCUUUCGAAUAAGAGGUUGCUAACUCUGUGCCAGCAGCAGCGGUAAUACAGAGACCUCAAGCGUUAUCCGGAUUUACUGGGCGUAAAGCGUCUGUAGGGGGUUUAUUAAGUUCCAAGUAAAAUUUCAAGGCUCAACUUUGAAUUCGCUUGGAAAACUAAUAAACUGGAGUCUAGCAGAGGUGCAUGGAACUUGUGGUGUAGGAGUGAAAUCCGUUGAUAUCACAAGGAACACCAAAGGCGAAGGCAUUGCACUGGGCUAGCACUGACCCUGAGAGACGAAAGCGUGGGGAGCAAAACGGAUUAGAUACCCGUGUAGUCCACGCCCUAAACGAUGAAUGCUAAAUGUUCGGGGAUUCGACCCCCUGGGUGUUACAGCUAACGCGUUAAGCAUUCCGCCUGGGAAGUACGGCCGCAAGGCUAAAACUCAAAGGAAUAGACGGGGAUCCGCACAAGCGGUGGAGCGUCUGGUUUAAUUCGACAGUAAGCGUGGUACCUCACCAGGGUUUGACAUCCCUUGACAGCCUUGGAAACAAGGUUUCCUUCGGGCAAGGUGACAGGUGCUGCAUGGUCGUCGUCAGUUCGUGCCGUGAGGUGUUCCGUUAAGUCGGGAAACGAACGAAACCCCUAUUGCAUGUUACAAUUUCUCAUGCAAGACUGCCCGGAUAUACUGGGAGGAAGGUGGGGAUGACGUCAGAUCUGCAUGGUCCUUAUACCCUGGGCGACACAGGCGCUACAAUGGCAGAGACAAAGGGUUGCAAAACCGCAAGGUGAAGCUAAUCCCAAAAACUUUGUCUAAGUUCGGAUUGAAGGCUGCAAUUCGCCUUCAUGAAGCUGGAAUCGCUAGUAAUCGUGAAUCAGCCACGUCACGGUGAAUAUGAUCCCGGAUCUUGUACCCACCGCCCGUCACACCAAGAGAGUUGGUAGCUCC
RNAcentral lists this ribosomal RNA (1192 nucleotides) under uncultured organism. Its description in RNAcentral is "bacterial SSU rRNA". It matches the Rfam family "Bacterial small subunit ribosomal RNA", at positions 199 to 1421 of the family's 1533-position model. The record is from RNAcentral.